CAACGCAUCAUCUGUGUGGGUGUUUCUCUGCCCCCCCCCUCUUCCCCUUUGUAUUGCGGGCGGCGCGUACGUGUGGCCAACCGCGUAAGCCUCGUGUUGCCGGCAGUUUUUCUUCUUUGUGUUUUACUUUGUGAAGUAUCUUCAGCCACUACGCAACUGAGUAACGUUCGCGCACUCACACACAGCAAGCAAGAGCUUCUCACAUUCUCAUGGGCACACGUCCUUGCACACAGGAAUUCGUAGAAAACGAAGAAGCAGCGGCACGCACACUUACACGUCAAGGCAAACACGCUCUGGUGUCGGCGUGGACGCACACAGGCACACCUCAUUUUGGAGGGAGGAGGGGGGCAUUCGCGCUGGACGACCCAGCACGUGCGCUACGCACUAAAACCACUCCUACUCUCUAGGAGCGUAGUCAUGCGCUAUCAGCGUCGCCCUCCGCCGCAUAGCAGCAUCGCUGGUGCGUGGAGGACAAUCUCGCUGGAGCGGCUCCUAGCCCUCUUCGGCAUCUGCGCAGGUGCCGCGGCGGCGACACCCGUUGCACCCGUAUCGUCGUCACUCGGUGCCGUGGUGCAAUCCUCGACGCCGCUCGCUGAGCGGCAGGGUUUCGUUCACCUGUGCUUGGUGAGGGACGGUUGUGGUAGCUGCGACAAGUAUGCGCCACAAGUACGACGUGCAUUAUCUGCCUCCCUCGUUGCAGCGGCCGCUGCAGACGCUACAUCAGCCCUUGCGUCGUACGUGCGGCAUGCCUCAAUGGUGGCAGGCCAGGGCCAGCAGUGUGAGGCGCAGCACGUCGCUGUGUAUGACGGCGAUGCUGCGGGAAAGGCGAGUGGUGUGAUCGCUGAUAUGGGCGAGGCAGCUGAGGAGGAGUACAAGCCAGAACGCCACGUGGAGAAUGCCGAGGCGGUCCUGCGAGAGAUGUUUGGGCCGCUGGCGAAACUUGUCCUGCACCGCAUCCCACAUCGUCGUCGGCCAGCCGCGGCAGCGGCAGCGGCAGCGGCAGAUGCCGAGACGCGCUCAGCAACUGAGGACGAGCAAGCCGAGGCAGACGACGUCGUGAUGCACCACAGUCACGAUGCGGGCGAGGAGGCGCCCACGAUGAACGAUCUAGGGAGUGCGGCAGCGCCGCCAGCGCUGCCUCACCCACACCAACAGGAGCAGCAGUUCUACUACCGAGUCUCCGCGACCUUCCGUCAGCUCGGCUUCCCCGUCGAACUGGCUGUCGCGAACGGCUUGCAUGCAAGAGAAACGAUUGAGGUGUGUCUUCAGCAAGCCUUGUCUAGCGAUGUCAAGUUUAUCUCUGUUAGCAGCAACCAUGGGCAUGCAAACCAGCAGCAGCGUCGCUUCGGCAGAGGUAGGGGGCGAGGAAGGCACCAGCAGCAUGAACGGAGCAACAUCAACUCGAUAGGGUUCCCGACUCACGGUGGCAGCAGCGACGGAGCCCCCUCUCGACUUACACCGCACCAGCAAGAGCUGAAGGCCAUCAUGAACGACCUGCGACAGCUCUGCACCCACUUUAGCCGCACCGUCAAGUUUUCUGUGAAGCCACCACUGCAGGCGAGCAUGUCGCGCUCCCCUGCGGAGAGGGUGGGUGCCGCGACAGCGGAGGUGAUGGCGAGGCCGUGGCGCUGCCGCUGCUACGUCAAGGAGGAGUGGAGUACUUCACCCCAGGCUCGCCUUGCUUACGAAGCAUGCGGCAGCAGCCCGAACGACGCCUUCGUCCGCUGUGUCGUAGAACUUCGGCGACAGUAUAGGGAAGAGAUGGACUCCACAAGCGUGACUCAGGAGGGCGUGCGUGAGGUGGCGGCGCUAGUACAGGGACACCGAAAGACAGUGACAGCGACCUGGAAGGAAGAGACUGCCGGUGGCAAGCCGGAGGCGACGACCGCAGAAAGCAGCGUGGAGGAGGAGGCCCAAGACGGCGCAUCCGCGACACGGGCGACGGCGCAUGCGAACUCGUUCACCUCUCUGACGCAGCCGCCCACGUACAGUACCCAGUUGCAGUUGACCGACGCGCGAGGGAACACCGCCGUGUACAACGCACGCCGCCAGGCCUCGCCGUACGUCGGAUACCAGACAGCGGCGAUGAGCGCCAUUCGCUCGGAGAGCGUGUGGGACAGCGAGACGCACUUGUUAUCUGAGAGGUUGGAGCCGGCGCCUUUGCUGUGGCGGCUGCGGUGGCAGUUCGACAUGCUGGUGGAUCACAUCUGCCGUGUAACAGGCAAGCCGCCCCUGGAGGUUGCUUGGAUUAAGUUGGGCGGCACGGGCAACGACGGCGGUGACGCCGAGCCGGCGAAGCAAGAAGCCAACAACACUGCAAUUAAUGACAGCGGUGCGGCUCCCACCCGCCCCCAGCUCGACACCCCUGUCGACCUCCCCAUCGUCUUCACCGGAUCUCUCUUUGUCGAAAGCAAUGCACUGGCGUGGCAGACGGCCGGGAAGGGGCGGUAUCGUGUGGAGUUCGACACCUAUGUUCAGGCUGUGUACUACCUGCUGGACCAGUAUGGCGACUGCCUAACCGCACUCCCAUGCAUGGCCGCUGGGCAAGGCGAGGGCCUGCUCUUCCCCAGUGCUGGCGUGCUGGAGCUGCAGGUGUUGCGGCACGACACAUUCCCUAUCCUGAAUCACCACCGGGGCAAGUGGAACUGCUACGCAAUUCUGGGCUCGCUUACUAUGCACCUGCUUGGCUGCCCCUUCCACACCCAUUAUCACUUUGACCUCGCCACGAAGGAGUGGGUGUCGACGGUGACCGUCAACAAUGGCCGGCAUUCGAGCUACCCUCUCUCGCAGCGCCGCUCUAAGAUGAAAGGAGAGGCGUGGCGAAAUGCGUGUCUCGCCGCCAUCCGGGACAACUUCCCUCGCCAAUACGCCGCUGUUCUGGAGAAGCACCCCGACGUGGAUCUCUCCGCUGACAACGGGGCACGCGGGCAGCGCUACCGCGCAUUGCCUCGAGAGAAACGUAUCGCGCACAUGGGUGGCUUCGUACCCAUGAUAAUGACCUUCGCCGAGGAGGACCUGGGGUGGAGGCAGCCGCGUGUCCGACUUCGCAACUUGUCCGGAGAUCUUGGUCUACCGCAGUGGAUUGCCGAGAUGGAGGCCCAGGUGGAGGGGGAGGAGGAGCGGCGCGUGGUGGCCGUCUCGCCAGCCUUCUUGCAGGUGCGGCAGGCGCGCAAGUCCUUGUUCUUCCGACUGGCGAAGCAGUACUUUCCGAAAGAGUUGAAGGUGUAUCAAUCCCUGAACCGCAGCGAUAGCGAUGACCCGGAGAUGGACAUCAACGUACGCCGCACAAGACUCUACGACCCUAAGAGCAGUUUUGACGGGUCGAUGCUGAGGCAUGUCACCUCACUGAUGGAGCGCGACCAUGCAACGAUUGCCCCGGUGAAGAUCACCUUAGAGGCGCGCGCACGCCAGCAGGACCCACACGGAACUGAUGCGAUGAGCGGGCAGCCGAUAGCAGGCGACGACCUUGAUGACAUGGAGCUCGACAUCCAUUACUCGGAUGGAGACACGAGCCUUCUGCACAGCCAGCAGCCGGAGAUGCUGCUGCGUCCCCUGAACCUGUCGUACAGCGCACAAGUCCUCGGCGAGCGCGGCAACGUCCUGAUCGCUGACUACGACUCUAGUCGCGCCACCACGCCGGCCGAUGCGGAGGCCGUUCCGGUACUCGUGACAGCGCUCAAGUCUGCCUCGUGCCACCUCGCCGGCGCGGACGCGGAGACGCUAUGGACGGAGUACGAAACCUACCCGGUGACUGGCGCCAGCUCUAACCGCGAGCUGUGCCUCGCUCUCUUUGGGGCGUUCUUUGGGCAUAAUGCGAAUGCCACGGUGGAGGCAGCGACUCCAGCCGCAAGCAGCUCGGGGGGCGAGCAAGCGCGAGCAGGUGGCGCACCCCUUCUCGGGGUAGCCGAUCUACAGGAUGUGAUGAACGACCCCGCCGCGCCGGUGAACGUGAUCGUGACUGGGGUGGGAAACUACUGGUUUGGCACUGUCGUCCUCCCGCGCUUCGGUAUGUUGCCGAUUGCCAGAGCGGUCGCCACAUCCAAGCGCCGGUGCGCUCGCGACGCCCUCACAUUGGCAACUCGCCGCAGCUUUCCUCGCGUGUUGCAGUACAUUAUCAAGCGCGACAUGGCAUCAGCAACGAUGGCGACCGAAGUUCUCUCCGAGCCUGUCAUCGAGCAGCUCCCGCCCGAGGUAUGCCGCGACGUGCUGGCUCAGCUAGCCAAAGCCAGACGCAACCGGCCGCCGCCGCCAUUUCGCCUGCUACUUCGCUGCAUGAAGUCGGCAUACCCGAUGCGUGACCACCGCAUCCGCGUUCAGAGCUCGUACGACACAACGCACGGCUUCCAGUAUCGCCUCUACCUCCAGCGUGGCUUGAUUGUGCGACAGAGCAGCACACAGCUGGUGGGAUACGGCGCCUCCACCUCGACCCAGACAGAGGCACUGUACCGCGCCGCCGUGAUGGCGCUGGAGAACCUCUUCGAAACAGCCCUGCACGCAGCAGAGACAAUGCAGCCGGGCUACCGCUCGCUAAGUGCGUCAGACCCUCAAAGUCCGUAAAGAAAAACCAAGAUGGCACAUAGUGGUGAUAAGCAUCAGGUGGGCGAGGGUGCGGGGAUCAACGGGUGACGCAAGGUGGGCAUUCCUUCCUCUUCCCCCCUCCUCCUCAUCACCGGAGAGCGCUGUCGCAGCUCUCUUGGAGCCUGGACACCGACUCCGAUAUCAUCAGUCGUGCGUUCCUUGCUCAAGCCGUGCUCGCGGCGACGUGCGUCACGAAGUCGGAAGAAGGUUUGCAGCGCCUCUCUCUCUGCGUGUGUGCGUAUAGGCGUGUGAGGGGUGGAGAGAGGAGGGGGAGCGGUUCUGUGCGGAGUGCAACACGGAACAUCAGCACGCACGCGCACACAUAAGCACACGAGAGAAUGACGAGCGACAGCCCCACUGGUUGCCCCUCCCAAUCCUUCUAAGACACAAGAAUGAGCACGGGCAGCGCGCAAAGCGGUCUCGACGAGGACACUGGCGACACUCACACAGACACGCACACACAGAGAGAAACGGGCAGCAAAAUAAGACGUAUAUGGCGCUGGCUAUGAAGAAGGAACGACGGUGGUGUUCUCCCCCUCCCCCUCCCCCUCUUCCUCACUCGGCUUCCUCUUGCAAGCGCGCGAGUACUUCUUGUUACCUUUUUUCAGCUCACUGCGGCGCGUGGUUGACAGAGGUGGGCUGCUGCUGCUUGUACUUUGGUCAGUGGCGCCGCAUCCUUUGGUUAUUGGGCAUGCAAACGACUGCCCCCUACCUUGUGUUCGUAACAUGAGCACGCAUGCACUCCGUCAGCUUUCCCUUCUCUCUCCUCUCUCCCGCGGCUACACAUAUUCAG
Molecule: unclassified non-coding RNA, 5371 nt
Filed under: Leishmania donovani
Lineage: Eukaryota; Euglenozoa; Kinetoplastea; Trypanosomatida; Trypanosomatidae
Description: gene:LdHU3.29.2270(CDS-product:hypothetical_prote in_conserved)
Source: RNAcentral